This 88-nucleotide ribosomal RNA is filed under the name uncultured bacterium. RNAcentral describes it as "partial 16S ribosomal RNA". The record is from RNAcentral.
CCCGUCACAUCACGAAAGUGGAUUGUACUAGAAGUCUGCAGGCUGACCGCAAGGGGGCAGCGGCCAAGGUAUGAUCCAUGAUUGGGUG